RNAcentral lists this ribosomal RNA (440 nucleotides) under uncultured bacterium. RNAcentral's name for it is "partial 16S ribosomal RNA". It matches the Rfam family "Bacterial small subunit ribosomal RNA", at positions 338 to 795 of the family's 1533-position model. The record is from RNAcentral.
CCUACGGGGGGCAGCAGUGGGGAAUAUUGCACAAUGGGGGAAACCCUGAUGCAGCGACGCCGCGUGAGUGAAGAAGUAUUUCGGUACGUAAAGCUCUAUCAGCAGGGAAGAAAAUGACGGUACCUGACUAAGAAGCCCCGGCUAACUACGUGCCAGCAGCCGCGGUAAUACGUAGGGGGCAAGCGUUAUCCGGAUUUACUGGGUGUAAAGGGAGCGUAGACGGCAGCGCAAGUCUGGAGUGAAAUCCCAUGGCUUAACCAUGGAACUGCUUUGGAAACUGUGCAGCGAGAGUGCAGGAGAGGUAAGCGGAAUUCCUAGUGUAGCGGUGAAAUGCGUAGAUAUUAGGAGGAACACCAGUGGCGAAGGCGGCUUACUGGACUGUAACUGACGUUGAGGCUCGAAAGCGUGGGGAGCAAACAGGAUUAGAUACCCCAGUAGUC